CUGUCUUGUUAGAUUAAUCCAAUAAAUUUCAUUCACUCCGCAUACUCAAUCCUAUAGACACCCUUUUAAUUCUUCAAUCACAAACGUAACUCGAUUUCACAAAACAAUCAAGAGUAAUCAAACCCACUUCAUUAAAAAAAUCCUGAUUCACCAUUACAACACUGACUUCAGCAACGAUUGCCUAGGUCUUCCCAAAACUCUAUGAAGAAAAAAAAUCCAAUUCUUCGUCUUUUCUUCCCCGAUCCGAAGCAUGAAGCUCCUCUCCAAACCCCUUGACCUUCAAAAACCUUCAAUGAAACCAAACUAGUAACCUUGAAAAGAGCUUGAAGCUAGCUCCUCGAUCAAAAAAAAACCCCCUCAAAACUUAUUCUCCCCCUAAUCUUAUCCUCUGAAUUUCUUCAAACUUCCGUCUUGGAUCCAGAAUUGGCUCCCAUCGUCAGAGCUUAGAUCUGAAAUUGGCUCCCGCCGUCAGAGCUUUCUCCUCCGUUUUUACCUUUAAGAGAUCUAUUUAUCGAAAACAACCUUCCUUGAAACGGCACAGAGAAUAGGACAGCCUAAAACAGAAUCGAAACCCCGUAGUCGGGUCCACAUUGAGUCGCCCGACCAAUUCAGGUCUCAUAUUGGAUAAGAGUCCAUUACUAAGAUCCGGAUUUUUCCGUAAUUAGACUGCAUUGGGUUGUCCGACCAAUACAGGUCUCAUAUUGGGUACGAUGCCCAUAGUAACCUGGAUGUUCCCGUAAUUAGACUGCAUUGGGUUGCCCGACCAAUGCAGGUCUCAUAUUAGGUAAGAUGCCCAUAGUAACCUGGAUGUUCCCGUAACUAGACUGCAUUAGGUUGCCCGACCAAUGCAGGUUUCAUAUUGGGUAAGAGGACCCGGAUUGGAUUCUUGAAAUAGGAUCCAAUUGGCUCUUCAAACCAAGCUCACCCGUCAUGUGAAUUGGUCCUUUUUCUUCUUGCUGACUCCCAUUAUUGGAAUCAAAUGGAGCAUUUCAGUAUGCCCCGGCUGACUAUAACGGGGUGACUGACCCUGGCCACUCAGUAUUUGCACUGGAGUUGGUAGUUGCUCCCAAUAUUCGAGGUAACUGAACAUUAAUAAAAGUCCUCUUUCUUUAUAUUUCCACGGUAUACUCGUGUUACAACACAACAUCCACCCCCUCUGAACCUGUGCAUCCUCUGGUAUGUACCAAUUUACCCAAUUGCUAUUUGAUUCAGAAUAUAUCCUCUACGUCUUUGUCUUGUUCGUCUUCGUCACCUUCAUUAUCCAAAUCACUUUCAUCUUCUUGCUGCGGAAUGUCUAUACCUUCAUUAAGGUCUUCCAUAUUUAUUUCCGCGUGUCUUCGUUUAAAUAUUUUUACUCGCUUUUCUGCAAUUGGUAUUUUCAAUUUGGACCAUCUAACUCCCAUAACCAGUAAGUCGCAUUAUCAUGAACUGUUGUUACCACAUAUGGUCCAAACCAACGUUUGGAAAAUUUCCGCAAAGUACUAUGUUGAUUAUCCAGACUAUUGUCAUAAACAAGUACCCAGUCACCUUCCUCGAUUGCUUUUGGUCUCAAUCAAUGUUGCUUAUCGAAUCGCGCCUUAUUUUGUAACCUUGCUCUUUUUAACCUUCCCAAUGCUAUCUGGACAUCUUCCAUUCUUUGUUCCAAUUGUCAAAUCCUAAUAGCCAGAAGUUCUUCUCUUGUCAAUCCAUCUUCCCAUGGUAGCAUACUCCAAGUAAGUACCUUUUCUUCAAUCGGCAUAAUUGGUUUUUGACCUGUCAUAAGUUCUACUGGCAUAUAUCCUGUCACCGAACUAUGUGUUGUUCGAUCAGCCCAUAAUGCAAAUGACAAAAGCCAUGGCCACUCUUUAACCUUCCCAUUACAAGCUUUAACCAAUGCUUUCACAAUCGGUGGGUGACCGCGUUCGCUUUUUGCAUUCCUUUCUGGAUUAUAAGUAGUAGUCAGUGAUAGUUUAACUCCACAUCUUUCAAAGAACUUACGAGCUUCUUGUGCAUUUAAUUCUCCACGAUCUGCAGUGAUUUUUCCUAUGCAUCCGUAGCAGCAAAUGACAUCUUCAAGAAAAAACCUACAAAUCCCCUCUGUAGAUUUUGUCCUCAAUGCUCUUCCUUCUACUUGAUUUGAUAAAUCUUCACGAGCUAAAACCAAAUAUCUCAUCUGCUAUAACCCAACCGGCAUAAUAACCAAAUCAACAACCCAUUUAAAAUGAAUAGCCAGAGGAUACGUAAGAUGAAGACCAUCUCGAUGUCGGAUAUUAGAAUACGAUUGACAGAUUUCACAUGACUCUACAAAUGAGAGCACAUCUCGAUACAUAUUUUUCCAUCAAUAUCGUUCCUUGAGUUUAACAAAAGUAGCCUAGAUUCCUCUAUGCCCUGCCCAUAAACUAUCAUGAAACUCCUUUAAUAAUUUUAGUCUUUCUUCUUUUUUGCAUAUCACUCGUUGUGGCAUCCCAAUUCCUUUCUUCGGACUCUUCCAUAAGAAUCCAUCUCGAAGUAAAAAUCCAUAUGCUUUUUUUCUUAUUUGUUUGAAUUUUUUUGUAGACCAAUUCCCCUGCUUAGUCAAGGUAUUCAAGUAAUGACCAAUAUCCAAUAAUUCUCCUUCAUAAGAUUCUUCAAGAAAUAGCUUGUCUUCUCUAUUGAAAUUUGAUAUUGAAUAAAAUUUCAAUCCGACGUCAUCAAUGUCUUCAACCAUUUCGUCUUCCCUCUCGUAUCUUGCUCGAGAUAGCAUGUCUGCUACUAAAUUGUCCUUCCCAGUAAUAUGCUUAAAUUUUGGAUUUAGUGACUUAAUAUAAGCAAUCCAUCUCAACAUUGCAAUAUCUGGCGUUGAACAGUUAAUAAUCAUUCCAAGCAAUGGCAAGCAAUCUGUUUCAAUUACUACUACUGUCCCAAUCAAAUAGUGCUUUUCAGCUUUCAUAGCCGAAACGACUCCCCAAAGUUCUCUUUUGACUUGCGAAUAUGCACGCUGACGAAUACUUAAAACUUUAGCCUCAAACCGAACUGCAAAUCUAUUCCCACUGGAAUCAUCUUGACCCACAGCCCAUCCAAUGGCAAUUGGACUAGCGUCCACAAUAAGAAUCACUGGUCUAUUGCACUUAUAAUCAACCUUCCUCAAUAUUAGAGGUGACGUCAAUAAUUUCUUCAAUCUUUGCAUUGCCUGAAUAUGCCUUUCUUUCCAUUUAAAUCGGUAACCCUUGCGUAGCAGUUCAUAUAAUGGAUCCGCUAUGUGAGCAAAAUGAGGGAUCCAGAUUCGAUAAAAUACACAUGCAUCCAAAAACCUGCAAACCUUUGUUAAAGAAUCACAAUCCUCUUUCAUCCUUCCAAUUGCAUCAACUUUAGUCCGAUCUGGUUUUCUUCCGUAAGAUCCACAUAAAUGUCCAACAAUUACAACCUCUCGCACUCCAAAUAUGGACUUCAUAUCCGAUAAUGUUAGAUGAACUUCUCCAAGCCGAGUUAAAAUCUUUUCAUAAUCUUGUAUAUGAUCAACAAUAUAUUUACGACACCCCUUCGUAUCUAAAGUUUCAUCCUUGUCUCCUUCUCUACACCCUUUUAUAGGAACAUCAUCCAGAAAAGGCAUAGUCUUUUCCGGAAUAAAAUCUCUCAAUACCUUAUUCAUCCCAUUCAUCAUAUGCGCAAUUGAAUUGGUCGCGCCUUGAGGAAGAGUGCACAUUCUAACCAAUCCAAGUGGUGUUCUCAUUGUUGUCAUAUCUCUACUUUCUUCGGCAAGUUGAAAUUGAUCACAACCUGAAUACAAGUCACCCAUUGAAUAGAUCGCCCUUCCAGCAAACGCCUCAGCAAAUUCAUCCACAAUAGGUCCAAUUUCUGCAUUCCUGACAGUUACUACAUUCACCGGUUGUAUAUCUUGAAUAAACCAUAGUGAUCCAUUCUUCUUAGGUACCGUAAACCAUCGACUAGAAUACGGCGCAAAUGAAGGUUCCAAUAUUUUCAUCUUUAUCUUUUCUUUCAAUAGUUCCACCAAUUUAGGUAAAUGUGCCCUCGGUACUAGAAUUGGUCUUAGAUUCCAAGGUACAUGCGGUACAGUGAAGAUAACCAUAGCUGUUAUAAUAUUUGAAUCCACACACCCAAUUUCAUGAGAUUCGAAGGCAAACGAUCUACCUUGUUUAGCCAACAUCUUUUUGAAGCAAGUAAUUUCCUCCGGCAACAAAGAACCAUCAGAACCAAUCUUCAAUUCUUCAAAAGACUCUUUAGUAAACUGAUGUCCAAUACUCAUUGGAUCUCUUAAAUUUGCUUCUUUUGAUGCUUCUCCCAUUUUUUCUUUAGAAUCUUCUGGUAAUGGUCCGGGAACAGGCUUAACCUUCUUAUCUGCCGUUUUAUAUCUCGUCUCUAUAGUGACUUCUGGUGCUUGAAAAGAUUCAAGUAUGGUAUAAACCUCUCUUGAAUGAAUCUCAACAAUCUUAUUAUUAUCUCCUAACCCAAUAGAUGUAAUCAAUUCCAAUGAAUCUUCUAGCCCAUUUUCUUCAUAAACACCCAAAAUCCUAUCAUCAUCUUGCAAUGUACCUAUCUUGCGUAACUGUCCUUCAAUAUCAUAUAAUCUUUUUCUUUCUUUUCUUUUAAAAUCUUCAACUUUCUUAUACAUAAUAUUUCCAUUCUCCAAUAUACCAAUAAAACUCGCAUCAAAGGCACCUUCAUCUCGCAAGAGUACCUCCUCUUUUGUACCUCUAUAAUCUCGCUUUACAGUGGUACCUCCCCAAAAUCCUUAAAUCCUUCAACAAUCUUUGGUAAUGGUUUCUCCCUCAACCUAUCUCGAUUCCGUUCAUGGUUAGGAGGUACUGUUAGAAAUUGUACAGCUUUCCUCCCAUCUUCGCUCCGUAUCCUUGUAUAAGCAGAACCAUCGUCAAGUACCUUUGUUUCUAUCCGUGUUGCCGUGAUAUAAGGUUGUCCUAAAAUCAACGGAUAAGACGUUGUAUCUUGAACAAAGAAAUGUUGCUCCGUCGCAACAUCCCCAAUCCGAAUUUUGACAUCUGGACAAGCUCCAUAUAAUUUGCCCCGUGUGUUAUUAGCUGCUCAUAUUGCCCAUCCAUGUUCCAUAUCAAUAGGCCAUUUUUGCUUCUUAUAAAGAUCUUUAGACAUGAGAUUUAUUUCAGAACCAUGGUCGACUAAAGCAACUAUUGGUUCUUCUAUAUCUCCUACUUUCACCAAUAUCUUAGUAGUUGCCCUUGUCCAAUGCUUUCGAAUAUAAUGGCUCAAAGUUUCCAUUUCCUUGUCACUAUAAUCUUCUAAACUUGCUCGUUGAUUAUACCCAAUCUUUUCAUUUGUUGGUUGCUUGUAACCAAUACAAACCUCUUCUUCAUCUCUAUAUAUUCUUGCAUCAAUAGCAUGACUCAUUCCAGUUUCGUCCAUUAAUUGUCUCUUUCGCUUAAUGCUAUCAAUGAUGACAUCAUGAAACUCCUUCUUUGCUAUUUCCAAGACUUCUUUUAAUGUGAACUCCACCUUAGCGUUUAAUAUACGUUCUUCCAACACCCCUUUCAAAUUUGAUGCCGCUUCAAUGUCAGAAAGUAGCUUAUAAGCAAUUGAUUUGCCCUUAUCUCUUGUCUCCUUUGUUUUUUCUCCUUAUAAUGCUGAGGUAUCUUUUACAGGCAAUUCUUGUGAAGCUGCCUCCCGAGCCUUGUCUCCUCGAGUUUGCCUCUUAGAAGAAUUUCCUUCUCUAGUAUCAUCAAAAUUUCCUCGUCUCUUUUCUUCCAUCAAAGCUUCAUAUUGGCUCUUAGCAAUAUAUGCAUGAACUGAAAGAGACUCAACAAGAUCCUGUCAACCUGUUCUACCUCGUAUUGUAGUUGUAGUCCUCAAUAACGCUUCUCGAGGUAAUUUCCCUUCUUGCAUUGUAGAAAUGGCAGAAGCCCAAAACUCACUAGUUUCCGUACUUCCACCAAUUUCAUCAUCUACUCUAGCACCAUAACUUGCACUUUCUCAUGCUGCUGUUUCAUGCUCUUUUAGGUAAUCUUGAACCAAUGCUUUCAUUCCUCCCUUGCCAAAAUUGGUUUGAAGAAGAUCCUCUCUAUUUUUCAAUGCUAUCUUCUCAUCUUUUCAGCAAAUAAUUCCCUGCCGUAUCAUAUUAUUAAAUUCAUUGCAAUCUUUUCUAGUGUAUGAAGCAUCAUCACACCAAAUGCAUCUUUGUACAUAUCCUUGUUUUGAAACAUUCUUCGAAUUGUUUAUGGAAGUAUUCUCUUCAAGUCUUGCCAAUUUAAUUUGAAGAUCUCGCAUUUCUCGUAUAAUUUCUUCCAUUUCCAUAUCUGCUUUCUUUAAUAAGGAUGUCGAAGGUUGAACUGUAGGCAUUGUUGGUGGUGUUGUACGUUGUCGUAUUACGUGCUUUCCUGCUCGAGAACGCGCCGGGCGUCUGGCUGUAGAAGGUAGUAUGGAGAUUCGCCGAUAGUCAAGCAGUCUAUCAGUUUUUGACUGCUGGAAUAUAAACGACUGCAACAAUGUACCGUAAAUCUAUACGGGUGCUCUUCAACUGCUUGUCGAAGUCCUUUUUGCCCUAGCCGGUAGGUCUCUAGACGUUAUAGAGAAUCCCGUACAACCCAAAUUGUUAACCGUCAAUACUGCCUUGGUAUUUACGAUCUUGUAUCCACUGACUGUCUUGUUAGAUUAACCCAAUAAAUUUCAUUCACUCCGCAUACUCAAUCCUAUGGACACCCUUGUAAUCCUUCAAUCUCAGACGUAACUCGAUUUUCACAAAACAGUCAAGAGUAUUCAAACCCACUUCAUUUAAAAAUCCCGAUUCACCAUUACAACACUGACUUCAGCAGCGAUUGCCUCAGUCUUCCCCAAAACUCUACAAAGAAGAAAAAUCCAAAUUCUAUGUCUUUCCUUCC
Molecule: long non-coding RNA, 6821 nt
Filed under: Physcomitrium patens
Lineage: Eukaryota; Viridiplantae; Streptophyta; Bryopsida; Funariales; Funariaceae
Description: long non-coding RNA (PPAT_LNC012552)
Source: RNAcentral